GCUCGAUCGGUGAAAACCGAAACAAUGCGAACAUUAACCAUUCCGGCCCCGCUGCAAUCGUGAUGUCUAAACCACCUGAUGAAAUCGCGACCGCGGUCGUGUCCAAAGUCACCCGUCAUCAGUAUUCCUAAGCGCGACGACGACGACGUUCGCGUGUUUGCCUGAGAAAAUUGUGGCGAAGUUCAAGGCCGCCAAUUGGCACCGACGACGACGGUGCGCGGGUGAUUAUUGCUCACCGGAUCUCGGCUUUGCUUUUUUUUUUUUAGAAAUCGGUUUGAAUUUCUCGGAUACGUUUUGCCGUCAGUAAUUCCUACGCACGAGAUGUCAGUCAAAUAAUACGAUCGAGCCCACAACUAUAUGGAAAAUAAUCGUUUUUGUAUAGUUACAACAAACGCACGAUAUAGUUAUGGGUUCACGUAAUGCAAUUGGGUCAACAAUUCCUGUUGAAUCAACCAAGGCCGAAAAUAAAUCACAAACAACCCGUGCAACCUUUGUAUAAUACAAUGCGAUUCCGACUACCAAAGACUGAAAAGGAACAGCGA
Molecule: long non-coding RNA, 542 nt
Organism: Metopolophium dirhodum (rose-grain aphid)
Lineage: Eukaryota; Metazoa; Arthropoda; Insecta; Hemiptera; Aphididae
Exons: 3
Source: RefSeq, a predicted model, not a curated record